UCCUCCUUAGCUCAGCUGGUUAGAGCAUCUGACUGUUAAUCAGAGGGUCCUUGGUUCGAGCCCAAGAGGAGGAG
RNAcentral lists this transfer RNA (74 nucleotides) under Cryomorpha ignava. It matches the Rfam family "tRNA". Rfam says of the family: Transfer RNA (tRNA) molecules are approximately 80 nucleotides in length. Lineage: Bacteria; Pseudomonadati; Bacteroidota; Flavobacteriia; Flavobacteriales; Cryomorphaceae. RNAcentral also lists the same sequence under 36 other names. The record is from Rfam by way of RNAcentral.